RNAcentral lists this ribosomal RNA (883 nucleotides) under uncultured bacterium. Its description in RNAcentral is "bacterial SSU rRNA". It matches the Rfam family "Bacterial small subunit ribosomal RNA", at positions 28 to 917 of the family's 1533-position model. The record is from RNAcentral.
GAUGAACGCUAGCGGGAGGCUUAAUACAUGCAAGUCGAGCGGUAGUCCCCCUCGGGGGAUGAGAGCGGCGCACGGGUGAGUAACACGUACAUGACCUACCUGUCAGAAGGGGAUAGCCCUGGGAAACUGGGAUUAAUACCCUAUGGUAUUACGAAUGUAAAGGUUUGUAAUUAAAGCUGAGGUGCUGACAGAUGGAUGUGCGUCUGAUUAGCUAGUUGGUGGGGUAAAGGCCUACCAAGGCGACGAUCAGUAGGGGGCGUGAGAGCGUGAACCCCCACACGGGUACUGAGACACGGACCCGACUCCUACGGGAGGCAGCAGUAAGGAAUAUUGGUCAAUGCCCGACAGGGUGAACCAGCCAUUCCGCGUGGAGGAUGAAGGCCCUAUGGGUUGUAAACUUCUUUUAGAUGGGAAUAAAAUGCCCCGUGAGCGGGGUACUGAAGGUACCAUCAGAAUAAGCACCGGCUAACUCCGUGCCAGCAGCCGCGGUAAUACGGAGGGUGCGAGCGUUAUCCGGAAUUACUGGGUUUAAAGGGUGCGUAGGCGGAUAAUUAAGUCUAAGGUGAAAGUUUGUUGCUUAACAAUAAGACUGCCUUGGAUACUGGAUAUCUUGAAUUAGGUUGAGGAUAGCGGAAUGUGGCAUGUAGCGGUGAAAUGCAUAGAUAUGCCAUAGAACACCAAUUGCAAAGGCAGCUAUCUGGGCCUUGAUUGACGCUGAGGCACGAAAGCAUGGGGAUCGAACAGGAUUAGAUACCCUGGUAGUCCAUGCCCUAAACGAUGCUAACUCGAUGUUUGGGAAUAAACUUGAGCAUUAAAGCGAAAGCGAUAAGUUAGCCACCUGGGGAGUACGACCGCAAGGUUGAAACUCAAAGGAAUUGACGGG